RNAcentral lists this ribosomal RNA (486 nucleotides) under uncultured bacterium. RNAcentral's name for it is "SSU rRNA". It matches the Rfam family "Bacterial small subunit ribosomal RNA", at positions 26 to 518 of the family's 1533-position model. The record is from RNAcentral.
AGGAUAAACGCUGGCGGCGUGCUUUACCAAUGCGAGUCGGACGCGCCAUUCUACGGGGUGGCGAGUGGCGGCCGGGUGCGUAACACGUGGGUGACCUACCCAGGCGUGGGGGAUACCCGCCCGAAAGGGUGGCUAAUACCGCAUGGGCUCUCGUCUCGAGUGGCGAGAGCAAAGCGGCGCUCCGAGGAGGGGCGUGGCGCGUUUGGAGGGGCCCGCGGCCUAUCAGCUAGUCGGUGGGGUAACGGCCUACCGAGGCGGUGACGGGUAGCCGGUCUGAGAGGACGGACGGCCACACUGGGACUGAGACACGGCCCAGACUCCUACGGGAGGCAGCAGUGGGGAAUAUUGCGCAAUGGGCGAAAGCCUGACGCAGCGACGCCGCGUGGGGGAUGAAGGCCUUCGGGUUGUAAACCCUUUCAGCAGGGACGAAGCGAAAGUGACGGUACCUGCAGAAGAAGCGCCGGCUAACUACGUGCCAGCAGCCGC